GAUGAACGCUGGCGGCGUGCUUAACACAUGCAAGUCGAACGGUGAAGCAGGAGCUUGCUCUUGUGGAUCAGUGGCGAACGGGUGAGUAACACGUGAGCAAUCUGCCCCUGACUCUGGGAUAAGCGCUGGAAACGGCGUCUAAUACUGGAUAUGUGAUGUGACCGCAUGGUCUGCAUCUGGAAAGAAUUUCGGUUGGGGAUGGGCUCGCGGCCUAGCAGCUUGUUGGUGAGGUAAUGGCUCACCAAGGCGUCGACGGGUAGCCGGCCUGAGAGGGAGACCGGCCACACUGGGACUGAGACACGGCCCAGACGCCUACGGGAGGCAGCAGUGGGGAAUAUGGCACAAUGGGCGGAAGCCUGAUGCAGCAACGCCGCGUGAGGGAUGACGGCCUUCGGGUUGUAAACCUCUUUUAGCAGGGAAGAAGCGAAAGUGACGGUACCUGCAGAAAAAGCACCGGCUAACUACGUGCCAGCCGCCGCGGUAA
This 484-nucleotide ribosomal RNA is filed under the name uncultured bacterium. RNAcentral describes it as "partial 16S ribosomal RNA". It matches the Rfam family "Bacterial small subunit ribosomal RNA", at positions 28 to 523 of the family's 1533-position model. The record is from RNAcentral.